RNAcentral lists this ribosomal RNA (379 nucleotides) under uncultured soil bacterium. RNAcentral's name for it is "bacterial SSU rRNA". It matches the Rfam family "Bacterial small subunit ribosomal RNA", at positions 26 to 408 of the family's 1533-position model. The record is from RNAcentral.
AGAUUGAACGCUGGCGGCAUGCUUUACACAUGCAAGUCGAACGGUAACGCGGGGGCAACCCUGGCGACGAGUGGCGAACGGGUGAGUAAUACAUCGGAACGUGCCCAGUAGUGGGGGAUAGCUCGGCGAAAGCCGGAUUAAUACCGCAUACGACCUACGGGUGAAAGCGGGGGAUCGCAAGACCUCGCGCUAUUGGAGCGGCCGAUGGCAGAUUAGCUUGUUGGUGGGGUAAAAGCCUACCAAGGCGACGAUCUGUAGCUGGUCUGAGAGGACGACCAGCCACACUGGGACUGAGACACGGCCCAGACUCCUACGGGAGCAGCAGUGGGGAAUUUGGACAAUGGGCGCAAGCCUGAUCCGAGCAAUGCCGCGUGUGUGA